UUUUUUUUUUUCCUUCAGCAUUCCCUCACCAGAUGGAUUUUUGCUACUGCAGAUCAGCAGAGGGUGUCAGAUCUUUCAGAGUGCACCAGGCUGGAACAAGCAGAGCUUCUUAGCAACUCUCUUCUACCCCCCUCCCCAUUCUCGCGCUCUCUCCCUCCCUCAGACAACUCGCCCCCCGCCCUCCGCCCCCUCCACGUAAUUCCGAAAGAGCAGAAUAAAGAGGAGAAAAAGAAAAGAAGAGCUAGUAACCGAGAGCCGGAGCCCAGAAAAAAAGCUGAAGAGGACCGAAGGGAAGGAAAGGAAAAGGAUGGACAGCUACAAAACGCAGCGAUUGCGGAAAUUUUCCAGCGCCAUUGGCUCGGCAGCGUGAGUUCUUCGGUCGGGCGUGAUUUCAGCACCGGGGGGACUGGACAGCACCUCGGGGGGACUUCUGGGCAACCUGCAGCCACAGCAAGAACUCCAUCAGCCGCCUCAGCUACAGAAGCCGCCGAAAACCCUGCUUUGUAUCAGAGAGGCAAGAACCAUUUAUCCACAUGUACCAUUCAGCUCACCAUCAGUAACUGUCCCUAAUCCUUUACAAUGUAAGUGUAAUUGAACUUAAUUUUUUAAGUAAAUUGUGAUAACCUUUCAUUUAUUGUAGUCCUGCUGUAACUCGAAUUUUCAUUUUAGACAUUGUAUAAGGAUAGUUUUCCCUCAUCAUGAGGCUCUGAGUGGCUUCAGUUCUUUCUGGAUAGGUGUUGAUGCCAUGUUGUAAAUACUCAGCUUAUUUUUAAAAGAAAAGUUAAAAGCUGACUGAGAACUCUGCUUAGAUUUUCACAACACAGCCUUAUGGUGCGAGAGUUCAGAGUCUUUGGGAUCAUUUAUGGGGUCCACAACAAUGAACCUACAAUCAGAAGCCUGGAUUCUGGAUUAAGUCAUCCUCUAACUAGCUCUGUGAUCCUAGACAAGGCUCUUAAUUCAUACCUGAAAUGAGACUGUUGGACUGGAAUAAGGAAAUAAAAAUACUUUUUCUUUAAUGGUCCUGAUAUAAGUAUUUUAGGCUUUGUGGACUAAGAAGUAGAAUCGAGGACAUUAGAUAUAUUAUAUACAUAUAUAUGUGUAUAUACACGUAUGUUGUAUAAAAUAUAUUGUGUAUAUAUAUAUAUAAUAUACAUAUAUAUAUUAUA
This 1166-nucleotide long non-coding RNA is filed under the name Ursus thibetanus thibetanus. Its description in RNAcentral is "lncRNA (ENSUTTG00000000209.1)". Lineage: Eukaryota; Metazoa; Chordata; Mammalia; Carnivora; Ursidae. The record is from RNAcentral.